GCCCCUUUAGUCUACCAAUUGCCACUUCAACGUCAUUUGAGCAAUAUAGGUGCUUCCCUCCAUUUCAUCAUCUUUUGGUUAAUACCCACCAGAAACAAAUCUCAAACUCAUUUAUCUCUUUCUUCCUCCUCUUUCUUCAUUAAACUUUUGGGUGCUCAAAACCUCUAUGUUUCUGGGGCGACUUGUUAGGAGGCUCGGUUUAUCUCUUUUUCUGGCAUUUCCUACUUUUUUUUUCAUGGUCAAAUUAGGCUUCCACAUGGUUUUUCUUCUUCAUGCAUAUUUAGACGGAAAGUGGUGCUAGAUUUUAAAAGAAAAACGCUUUCUUUUUGUUUUAUAAGCCUUGCGUGGGGCUGCAACACUGAAAGCAAGAGCGUUAAAGGAUGUGUGGAUUUUAUUGUGAUGAAUCGGAUGAAUCCUACCUGCAGCCACAAACUUGAUAAUUUAGGGAUAUGGGGAUUUUAUUGUGAUGAAUCAGAUGCUUUUGAUGUCAAAAUGGAUGAAUCCUACCUGCUUUUCAAGAACAAAAUAGAAAUGGAUCAAUGGCAAAGUAAUGAAGUUUGCCUAGCUGGUGGAUCCCAAAGUUCCCUGCUUGAUUCCAGGUUUGUUUCCCUUUACUUUUAAUCUCAACG
Amaranthus tricolor (Joseph's coat) is the source of this 629-nucleotide long non-coding RNA. RefSeq lists it as uncharacterized. The record is from RefSeq and is a predicted model, not a curated record. Lineage: Eukaryota; Viridiplantae; Streptophyta; Magnoliopsida; Caryophyllales; Amaranthaceae. The transcript has 3 exons.